This 513-nucleotide ribosomal RNA is filed under the name Lactiplantibacillus plantarum. RNAcentral describes it as "bacterial SSU rRNA". It matches the Rfam family "Bacterial small subunit ribosomal RNA", at positions 12 to 490 of the family's 1533-position model. The record is from RNAcentral. Lineage: Bacteria; Bacillati; Bacillota; Bacilli; Lactobacillales; Lactobacillaceae.
UUUGAUCCUGGCUCAGGACGAACGCUGGCGGCGUGCCUAAUACAUGCAAGUCGAACGAACUCUGGUAUUGAUUGGUGCUUGCAUCAUGAUUUACAUUUGAGUGAGUGGCGAACUGGUGAGUAACACGUGGGAAACCUGCCCAGAAGCGGGGGAUAACACCUGGAAACAGAUGCUAAUACCGCAUAACAACUUGGACCGCAUGGUCCGAGUUUGAAAGAUGGCUUCGGCUAUCACUUUUGGAUGGUCCCGCGGCGUAUUAGCUAGAUGGUGAGGUAACGGCUCACCAUGGCAAUGAUACGUAGCCGACCUGAGAGGGUAAUCGGCCACAUUGGGACUGAGACACGGCCCAAACUCCUACGGGAGGCAGCAGUAGGGAAUCUUCCACAAUGGACGAAAGUCUGAUGGAGCAACGCCGCGUGAGUGAAGAAGGGUUUCGGCUCGUAAAACUCUGUUGUUAAAGAAGAACAUAUCUGAGAGUAACUGUUCAGGUAUUGACGGUAUUUAACCAGAAAG